Manis javanica (Malayan pangolin) is the source of this 291-nucleotide non-coding RNA. The record is from RefSeq and is a predicted model, not a curated record. Lineage: Eukaryota; Metazoa; Chordata; Mammalia; Pholidota; Manidae.
CACAAAGAGAAGACGGCUGUCUGCAAACUGGGAAGUGGAUUCCAGCAGACACCAGAUCUGCCGGGGUCUUGAUCUCGGACUGCCCAGCCUCUAGAUGGAAAUUAAGGUCCAGAGGGAGAAAAGUCACUUGCCUGAGGCUAUGCAAGGAGUGUGUGGCUGGGCUGGGAUGAAACCAAGCUGUCCAGCUGAAUCAAAAGAAGGCCAAGUUUGCUGGAAGGAUGGGACAGGGAAGUGAUCUGCGUUAUCCCACAUAGGGCUUCUUUAAGGCAAGUACCAUAUUUUUGUAAUCUU